GGACCCUCCGCCGAAGUGCUGCUGGAAACAGCGGCAACCAAUUGAGCUGCUGCUGAAUUGCCACCGCUAUUUUCGGCAGCUGCUCAAUCACUGCCGCUGUCUUCGGCGGCAUUUCAGCAGCAGCUCUUUCGAAUUGGGCCCCGCCCGUCCUAAAGCCGUCAGUUCUGAACCUGGAGGAAUAUGAUUGGAUUUGGGAUCCGUUCUCAACUCUUGCUAUGUCAUGCUGUUUGAGUGGAAAAGCAGACCAGGAGCUGCUCAAACUAUCCUGUGACUGCACACUGAAAAUUAAGUUGCAGGUACAGACUCCUUGCUACUUUUGGCCAAGAUUUCUGCAGAGUACCCAAUUUUAGUUACAGAAGCAAUGGAAGUGUUGCUACCUUUCCCAACAACAUAUAUAUGUGAAGCAUCAUUCUCUGCCAUGACAGCUAAGAAGACAAAGUUCAGGUUCUGCCUGGAAGUGGAGAAUGAUUUACACAUUUGCUUGUCAACCAUCACACCGAGGAUAGACAGACUCUGCAGUAAGAAGCAGGCACACCCAUCUCACUGAUAUCUACACAGGACCCCCGACUCAUCGGCUGGCUUAGCCUUGGUGCACCUCAGCGCAACGCGCUCCCUCAUUGCUGCAGUAUUACAACACAUCCAAACCCACAAGCCGACCCUUUUUAUCUAGAGCCCAGCGCCAUUAUAGACAGACCGAGCCCCUUCCGGCGCCGAAGGUGAUAUAUCGCAAGUUGCCAGGACCAGAGUGGAGCCUGCCUGUGCCACUCAUCACCUGGGGCCGGGGUUACGCAGCAGUGUCAACUGAAACCGGCCCUGUGUGGGUUCCCGCUCGCUUUGUGAAGCCGUGGAGAGAUGGCCUGGCAUCAGGGGCUAAAGAAUCCCAUUCCAGACUUCAGUCUAACCCUGACGGAUAGGGUGGACAAGAUUGACAAGGCCCGAAAGCGUGGCACACCUAACACUGCCAUAACUUGGGGGCAGGUCAAAGCUUUAUCACGGCAGGCUGAACAUGUAUUAGAGCAAACUAAGGCGGAUAAGACUACAGAAAACUACUUUCUUGCGCUAAUAGCCAGCUUAAAUGCUAAUUCUCUUUGCUGGGUUAUGUAUAUUUGGGUGACCGUUCUGUGUUUGGCGCAAGGUGUUGC
Molecule: long non-coding RNA, 1142 nt
Organism: Mauremys mutica (yellowpond turtle)
Lineage: Eukaryota; Metazoa; Chordata; Testudines; Geoemydidae
Exons: 4
Source: RefSeq, a predicted model, not a curated record